Phoenix dactylifera (date palm) is the source of this 1592-nucleotide RNA transcript. It is a transcript of the gene named protein DEHYDRATION-INDUCED 19-like, with no coding region annotated. NCBI's taxonomy places the organism in Eukaryota, Viridiplantae, Streptophyta, Magnoliopsida, Arecales, Arecaceae. The record is from RefSeq and is a predicted model, not a curated record.
CUUCAAGUUGCCACGUCACGUCUCACACGGUCACGACCCACGAAUGGAAACCAUUAAAAACCCCAUUUUUUUUCUUCUCCUCCGCUUUCUCUCUCCCUGCCUCUCCCACUUCUGACUACUCCCUCUCCUUUGCGAAAAACUUCGUUUCGGAUCGUUCCGAAAUCCAUCGAAUUCGAGGAAAUUAGGUUAAAAGCCUGAGAAAAAUCUGGAUUAGAAGACGGAGAGAGGAGAAAUAUAAGGGGAGAAUCCCUUUCUUCGGGGUAGAUUGGGGAGCCGGUAGCUCUGCAAUCCUCUUCGGCCUCCGAUCAAUGGAUUCCGAUCUCUGGGCCUCCCGCCUCUUCGCCGACAAAAGGCAUUACUUGCUUCAGCACCGCCAGAAUCCCCAAUCAGAUCGGCUGGGCGUCGAUGAUUUCGAGAUGGAAGAGGAGGUCCGCCCGGAUUUCCCCUGCCCGCACUGCUACGGGGAUCAUGAUGUCACGUCGCUAUGUUACCACGUCGAAGACGAUCAUGCUUUUGAGUCGAAAACCGCUGAUCACUUGCAGAGACAAAGACAGUUACGGAGAUUUGCUAUUCCCAGCAGCCAGACACUUUCUCUACUGGGGAGAGACCUUCGUGAGGCUUAUCUGCAGUUGCUUUUGGGAACUGGGACCUAUCGGUCGAGCAACACUGGUGCAUCAAACACUUCAGCUGAUUCAUUUCUUUCAUCAGUUGUUUUAAAUUUCCCAACAUCUGAAACUGAAGAAAGUUUAAAAUCGUCCAUCUCCACCACAGAGGAUGCUUAUAUGAAAAAAGUAAGGCCUUCAAAAACUUGGAAAUCAAGAGCAAGAGCAUGCAUGACUUUUGGAAAUUAUUAAUGCGUAAUAUGCAUGUCAUGCAUCCUUCUUAUGAUGAUAGCUAGACAGACAAAGGUAGAUUGUCAAACUGUAGCAUGAUCCUUUCACCAUGGUAGCGGGGCGUCUUUUUGGUCAUGGAUGAGCGAAGAAUGCAGCCAUUUUUCUUUCAAUACUGUGAAAAUAUUGCAUGAACAUCAGAUACAUGCUUAGACUUUGGACUUGAACGGGAACUUUGACCGCAGAACGUGUCUUAGGACCCUCUUUCUGGUAUAUUUCUUGACUCAUCAUUGACUCAUGAGGAGAGGGAACAGAAGCAGAAACAGGCGAUUGUUAGAGCAACAUUUGUUCAGGACCUGCUUCUGUCAGCUCUAUUUGGCGACUAAAGAAGAACGAACGUUGAAUCUAAUGGCAAACAGGUUGUUGGUGAUUCCAAUAAUGCUAGAACACACUACUGCUGAUUUAUAGAUGAAUAAUCUUGUUAAGUUAGGCCGUUGUUGGGUCUCAAGAGCAUGAGGUGCAGACCACGCCAUCACCUUAUUGCACAUUCUAUAAAUGCGUAGGUGUAAGCAGCAUCUCCCACCUUUGCUGCCUCUUAGGAAAAUUCGAGUUGAAUUUUAGGGUACAUAAAGUGAUGUUGUAUUCAAAUAAAUCUGCUUAUCUAUUCUGAGUACUCAAUAUGCAAUAUGCUGAACUCAAUAUGUAUGAACCAGUUAUGUAAGUGAUAUUUAAUUAGAAAACCUGCCUUUCCUGAUGGUGUCA